This 481-nucleotide ribosomal RNA is filed under the name uncultured bacterium. RNAcentral's name for it is "bacterial SSU rRNA". It matches the Rfam family "Bacterial small subunit ribosomal RNA", at positions 28 to 507 of the family's 1533-position model. The record is from RNAcentral.
GAUUAACGCUAGCGGAAGGCAUAAUACAUGCAAGUCGAACGGGAUAGAACUUAGCAAUAGGUUCUUGAGAGUGGCGCACGGGUGCGUAACACGUAUGCAACCUACCUUUAACUGGGGGAUAGCCUCUCGAAAGAGAGAUUAAUACCCCAUAAUAUAACUGAUGAGCAUUUUUUGGUAUUAAAGAUUUAUCGGUUAAAGAUGGGCAUGCGGCUGAUUAGGUAGUUGGUGAGGUAACGGCUCACCAAGCCAACGAUCAGUAGGGGGUCUGAGAGGAUGUCCCCCCACACUGGUACUGAGACACGGACCAGACUCCUACGGGAGGCAGCAGUAGGGAAUAUUGGACAAUGGGCGCAAGCCUGAACCAGCCAUGCCGCGUGCAGGAAGAAUGCCCUAUGGGUUGUAAACUGCUUUUAUUGGGAAUAAACCUCUUACGUGUAGAGAGCUGAAGGUACCAAAUGAAUAAGCACCGGCUAACUCCGUG